UUUAAGGGGAUGCGCGAGCUUGCUGGGCAAGCUUCCUCAGUACCCCUCCCCCUGAAAUUUUGAACCAGAGAGCGCGAGAAAGAGAAUGAGAUCGAGAGAGAGUUUGAUCGAGCAUUUGAAAAAGGGAGAUCGUGGGAGAGUGCUGGCCGAGGCAUCGCGAGAUUGAGAGAUCGAGAUCGAGAGAGAUGAGGGCGGCUGGUCGCUGGCUGGUUUAAGGCGGCCAUUGCUGAUGCUACCGAAGCAGCUGUGUUAUGAAGCUGCAACAAUGGCGACUGAGGGCGGUAGCGUUUGAUGGCGGCGGAAGGCGGAAGCGGCCGAAGCUGGCCGAGUUGAGGCCGAUGAAGGCCGAAGGCAGCAAAGGCGAGCGGCCAUGGCAGCAGUUUCGCUGCUGUUCCAGUUGCUGGUUAGCGGCAGGGGAUGCACGGAAGAGGCUGUGGCAGUCGCAAGGGCUCGAGAAAGCAUCUGAGAUGGCCGGAGGCGCGGCCAUUGCUGCGCGAAGCUGCUGUUACAGCAGCUAGGCGCGGCCAUGGCAGCGCACAGCAGCUGCAAAUGGCGAGCAAAGGCAGCGGCUGGGGCACUCGAGGAGGCCGGUCAGGGGCAGCACGGUGCGGCUGGUGGUGGCCACCGAGGGCGGUGCUGCGAACGGUGGCUGGCGCGAGGCCAGGCGGCGGCUGGUGGGCGGUCGUGCGCAGCAGCUGACGCGGCCCUGUAUGUGCACGGGGAAGAAGCAGACGCGGAGAGGAGAAAUGGAGGAGAAGAUGAACAGUGAAGAAGAAAUAAAAAAAAAAAAAAAGAAAUGAAAAUAUGGAAAAAAUGGCAAAAAUUGGGAAAAAUAGCUGAAAAAUCCAGAAAAAUUGGGAGAAAGUCCUGGAAAUUAAUUUGGGACUCGAGGAGUGGGCCAGAGGUUCGGUAUAUGAAUCCGAGGGCUUUAUGGCGGUCCAAUAAGCGAUGCCAAUGUGGGCGAUAAGCCAAUUUUCUCUUCCAGACUAAUUGAGGUUCGACCGGGAAGGCGAUAAUCCUAGAAGAGCUCGGAGUUCGAGCUGGCGUUCUCGCCGAGGCAGAGAUAAGGCUUCGAGCCAGAUGAUGCAAGUCCGGAUGCAAACAGGGAUGGCGCCGGGAGGCCGUUGUGGCAACUAGCUGAGUUGCUCGAGUUAUGUAUUUUUAAUACUGCUUGUAUGUAGCCAGAGGGCGUGGUGUAUGUAUACCAUUGUGAGUAAAUGUCUGUGUUUUGAGCUUAAAUGUAUUUAAUUGUGUAAUCAUCAUAGUGUGAUAGAUGAUUGUGAGAUUGCUUGUUGAAUGUGGCAUAGUCGGUAAAGCCAAGUUUCGGACCGAGUCAAGAUCAGCAAGGUAUGUUCUCAUAAAUCCCUAAUACUCAGCGAAGUGUUUGUAUGCUAGCCUUGUGCCUGGGUCACCUCUGGCUUGCUAUGGGGUGAGCUGAAGAGAGGUGAAGUUCACUCGGGUUUCGGGUCUUGGUCCGCUGGAUUUUUUUCUUAUUUGAGUUGGGACCGAUUCCUGAGUGGAGCGAAGGGAAUGACGAAGCCUAGUUCCCACCUAGGGCGUUUCCUGUUGAAACAUAGUCCAACCCUUCAGUUGAGGUUGUCGGGUGAGUAAUCUGGUCGAUUAUUUACUGGUGGCGCCCGUAAGUGGGAGCGGGUCGUUACAGUUGGUAUUAGAGCAUGGCUAGCUAUAUAAGUGAGGAAGGCUAGUGUGCUUGGGUGUUAAGUAUGGUCGGUUAAGUGAUUAAUGUGAGUAAUUGCCAGAGUUUUGGAUUAGAGGAUGUCUUGCAUGAUUUGGAUUUAAGUCGGAAUGUCCUAGUUGCUGAGUUGGGGUCGAGAAUAAUUGAUUUGAAAUUUUGAGAUUUCAAUGUAAGGUUGGUCCGAUAACCUUGAAAGUUGGACAUGUGGACCAAGGACCCUAAGGGAUUGGGUUAGGUCAUUGAGACCUGCAAUGGUAUGUUUGGAUAUUCCUGUCCUAGGGAUGAGAAAAUACCCUGGAUUGAGAUGAUAUACUUGUGAGAGGUAUACGGGUUGAGCAAAGAAGAACCGGAAAACCAAGUGUGGGUGUUGGUGUCAAGAAACCCUGAAUAUUGGAAUUCGGGUGUAUGGUGUAGUGUUUUAAGGAUGGGAAUUCCUUGAGAUUGAAGUAGUGGGGCUUGUGUGGGGACACGAAGCCAAAGCAUGACUAGUCCGGGAGGGGAUUAGUAGAGUGUCCCUGUGUUAAGGAUUUACCGAGCAUGUUCGAGGGAAUAGAGUUGUCCCUUGGAAGUGGUGCAGUAAGGCGUGUGCGCUUGAGAUAGAGUGAGCUAAAGUGAAAGUUAGCUCGGGACUCAAGGAGAUGAGACGUCAAUGAGACUCUAUGGAGAGUGUGCCUGUAAGGCAUCUGUAUGUCAUGGCCAAUGACGACAUGAAGUAAGUAGCAUCCGAAAGGACUCUGAGGGGAGUCAGGAUGCUAGAUGUAUGUGAUGCGAUGUGAUCGUAUUGUUAUUAUGAUCCCAGUAGGGAUGUGCCUAGGGUAUGAGUGGACCUUAGUUGGCUUCUUGAUGAGACGAGGUCUAUCCUUGGGAAUGAUAGGCGUGUGGCAAGUGGACCCUAGUGGGUGUUUGCACGAGAUGGAAGUCCUAAGUGAGUUGAGCUGGAAUCUAGGGGAAUCCAGAUUGGGUAUUAAAGAGUGGGUCAUGUGUUGAUAUGAGCGUGAGAGCCAUUGGGUUAGAAGUCCUGGUUGAGUAAGGCCAAGUGACCGUUCAUGCGAUCGAUGGAUGAGGGGCCAAUCAAAACUCUCAUUAUGACGCUUGGGGUCUAGUGGGACGCCUAAGGUCGGGAGAUGAGAGGUGAAUAGACCCUCAUUAUGAUGCAUGGGGUCGUGAUGACGCCUAAGGUCUCGAGACCCUUGAUGGGAGACGUGGAGGUCACCCAAUGAAGGGUAUGAGCGGUGUGUGGGCCGAGGUUAGUGAACUGUGGCAACAGGACAUCCAUAGGCUAUGCGCGCAAUGGAAAUGCCAACUUCAGAUGUCGAGUGGGCAGGGGCAUGGUGAGCAAUGUGGAGGCCGAGGGAGCUUUGGCUCGAUUGUUGUGGGAGCUUUGGGUUUAGGAUAUGCUAGCCAGUUCAUAGCUGUAUUCAGGUUGUUACGGAACCUUGGGUGUCAGUCCAUGUCCUAUGUGUGGGCCAUCGGUUCAUUAUUUGUGCAUUGUUGCAUGCAUUAUUGUGUAGCUUGAGUUGUGGUUCAUGGCACAGUUUGUGUGCGAAAUGCGGGCAAGGUAGUCUUUAGCCUUGUAGCCUUUUUUGUUUUGUUAUGCUUGUUGAGUCUUGUGAUUUACU
Diospyros lotus (date-plum) is the source of this 3315-nucleotide long non-coding RNA. RefSeq lists it as uncharacterized. Lineage: Eukaryota; Viridiplantae; Streptophyta; Magnoliopsida; Ericales; Ebenaceae. The transcript is spliced from 3 exons. The record is from RefSeq and is a predicted model, not a curated record.